CCGGAUGUCAAAAUUUUUGUGAAGGAAUGUGAUAAUUUUUAUAAAGGGAUAUCUUAAAUACCCAUUCACAGAAUUAUAAGACACUCUUUCGCAAAAUUAUGCCAUCUCUUCGUAAAAAUUAUGACAUCUCUUCACAAAAAUUAUGACGAUCCUACAGAAAAGUUCAGUUUAGCAUUUUCUGCAAGUGUCAUAAUUUUUGUGAACGAAUGUCAUAAUUUUUAAGAACUUUCUCGUCAUUUAAAAUUUCAAACGAAAAAAGAGAACUACGGACAUUAAAUGCACGCUGGAAAGCGAUGGCUACGUGAUUCAAUAGGGCAAAAUGGUGUGCUCCACAUC
This 336-nucleotide long non-coding RNA is filed under the name Elaeis guineensis (African oil palm). RNAcentral's name for it is "long non-coding RNA (EGUI_LNC016301)". The record is from RNAcentral. Lineage: Eukaryota; Viridiplantae; Streptophyta; Magnoliopsida; Arecales; Arecaceae.